This 515-nucleotide ribosomal RNA is filed under the name uncultured bacterium. RNAcentral's name for it is "bacterial SSU rRNA". It matches the Rfam family "Bacterial small subunit ribosomal RNA", at positions 26 to 518 of the family's 1533-position model. The record is from RNAcentral.
CUAGAACGAACGCUGGCGGCGUGCUUAACACAUGCAAGUCGAACGCGAAAGGGACUUCGGUCCUGAGUAAAGUGGCGCACGGGUGAGUAACGCGUAGAUAACCUGUCUUCAUGUCUGGAAUAAUACGCCGAAAGGGGUACUAAUACCGGAUAUUCUUGCUUUUCAUAAGUUAUGCAAGCAAAGGUGGCCUCUGCAUAUGCUACUGCAUGAAGAGGGGUCUGCGUACCAUUAGCUAGUAGGUGGGGUAAUGGCCUACCUAGGCGACGAUGGUUAGCGGGUCUGAGAGGAUGAUCCGCCACACUGGCACUGGAACACGGGCCAGACUCCUACGGGAGGCAGCAGUGAGGAAUAUUGCGCAAUGGGGGAAACCCUGACGCAGCGACGCCGCGUGAGUGAGGAAAGGCCUUCGGGUCGUAAAGCUCUGUCAAGAGGAAAGAAGUGUACAAUGGCUAAUACCUGUUGUAUUUGACGGUACCUCUAAAGGAAGCACCGGCUAACUCCGUGCCAGCAGCAGC